Molecule: ribosomal RNA, 380 nt
Filed under: uncultured bacterium
Lineage: Bacteria
Description: bacterial SSU rRNA
Rfam family: Bacterial small subunit ribosomal RNA
Source: RNAcentral
UGGGCAAUGGGCGAAAGCCUGACCCAGCAACGCCGCGUGAGGGAUGAAGUAUUUCGGUAUGUAAACCUCGAAAGAAUGGGAAGAAUAAAUGACGGUACCAUUUAUAAGCUCCGGCUAACUACGUGCCAGCAGCCGCGGUAAUACGUAGGGAGCAAGCGUUGUUCGGAUUUACUGGGCGUAAAGGGCGCGUAGGCGGCGCGGUAAGUCACUUGUGAAAUCUCUGAGCUUAACUCAGAACGGCCAAGUGAUACUGCUGUGCUAGAGUGCGGAAGAGGCAACCGGAAUUCUUGGUGUAGCGGUGAAAUGCGUAGAUAUCAAGAGGAACACCUGAGGCGAAGGCGGGUUGCUGGGCCGACACUUACGCUGAUGCGCGAAAGCCA